This 69-nucleotide transfer RNA is filed under the name Aseraggodes kaianus (Kai sole). RNAcentral describes it as "tRNA-His". It matches the Rfam family "tRNA". Rfam says of the family: Transfer RNA (tRNA) molecules are approximately 80 nucleotides in length. Their secondary structure includes four short double-helical elements and three loops (D, anti-codon, and T loops). Lineage: Eukaryota; Metazoa; Chordata; Actinopteri; Pleuronectiformes; Soleidae. The record is from RNAcentral.
GUAAAUAUAGUUUAACAAAAACAUUAGAUUGUGAUUCUAAAAAUAGGAGUUAAAUCCUCCUUAUUCACC